RNAcentral lists this ribosomal RNA (304 nucleotides) under uncultured bacterium. RNAcentral's name for it is "partial 16S ribosomal RNA". It matches the Rfam family "Bacterial small subunit ribosomal RNA", at positions 509 to 807 of the family's 1533-position model. The record is from RNAcentral.
CAGCAGUCGCCGCGGGAAUACGAAGGGUGCAAGCGUUAAUCGGAAUUACUGGGCGUAAAGAGUUCGUAGGUGGUUUGUCAAGUCUGAUGUUAAAGAUCGGGGCUCAACCCUGGGACUGCAUUGGAUACUGGCAGACUUGAGUGUGGUAGAGGCUAGUGGAAUUCCCAGUGUAGCGGUGAAAUGCGUAGAUAUUGGGAAGAACACCGGCGGCGUAGGCGACUAGCUGGGCCAUAACUGACACUGAGGAACGAAAGCCAGGGUAGCGAAUGGGAUUAGAUACCCGCGUAGUCCCUGUCUCUUAUAC